RNAcentral lists this ribosomal RNA (496 nucleotides) under uncultured bacterium. RNAcentral describes it as "partial 16S ribosomal RNA". It matches the Rfam family "Bacterial small subunit ribosomal RNA", at positions 28 to 507 of the family's 1533-position model. The record is from RNAcentral.
GAUGAACGCUGGCGGCGUGCCUAAUACAUGCAAGUCGAGCGAACAGACGAGGAGCUUGCUCCUCUGACGUUAGCGGCGGACGGGUGAGUAACACGUGGAUAACCUACCUAUAAGACUGGGGUAACUUCGGGAAACCGGAGCUAAUACCGGAUAAUAUAUUGAACCGCAUGGUUCAAUAGUGAAAGACGGUUUUGCUGUCACUUAUAGAUGGAUCCGCGCCGCAUUAGCUAGUUGGUAAGGUAACGGCUUACCAAGGCAACGAUGCGUAGCCGACCUGAGAGGGUGAUCGGCCACACUGGAACUGAGACACGGUCCAGACUCCUACGGGAGGCAGCAGUAGGGAAUCUUCCGCAAUGGGCGAAAGCCUGACGGAGCAACGCCGCGUGAGUGAUGAAGGUCUUCGGAUCGUAAAACUCUGUUAUUAGGAAGAACAAAUGUGUAAGUAACUAUGCACGUCUUGACGGUACCUAAUCAGAAAGCCACGGCUAACUACGUG